Long non-coding RNA from Onychostoma macrolepis, 2106 nucleotides. RefSeq lists it as uncharacterized. The record is from RefSeq and is a predicted model, not a curated record. The transcript is spliced from 4 exons. NCBI's taxonomy places the organism in Eukaryota, Metazoa, Chordata, Actinopteri, Cypriniformes, Cyprinidae.
AAUCAUUUAUUUUCAGGAGAUCUGUUUACAUGAUGAAUUACAUUGUCAAAGAGUAGGGAUGUAACGAUUCACGAUUUUGAUUUCACGAUUCAAUUUUCUCACAAUUUUUUUUAACAAAAUGAGAUUGAAGACUUUAUACAGUAAAUGAAAAGAUGUAGUGUUUCCUGGGUUACCGCUGUAAACAAAGCAGAGCUGCCUAAUGAACUCUACUUUAAUAUGCAUUGUUCAGAGGCAAGAUGAAAAGAAAAUACCAUGUAAACUUUUUUAAAGUUAGUCAGUUCCCCUCAGAGAUACAUUCAUAUAAACUCUCAGUCCAAUUGACCGUUUGCAAAGAGCUUGAUUGACAGGCGAUCUGACCAAUCAGAACACGGAUAUUGCUAUCCGCCAUCUUGCCCGACAAACAAAACACAACAGGCACAGUAAACUAACGUCGGUUGUUAACAUGAAAAAUGGUGAAAAGGUGCUCGUAUGGGACUUGCAACGCAGACAACAGCAGGCUGGGCAAUAUACAGUUUCACCUGUUCCCUAAACCUCACAGAAAUCCGGAGAAGUGUAUGAAAUGGAUACGUUUGUGUGGACGACUUCACCAGCAACUGAGUGUGGACAAGCUGAGAAAUCAUUCCACAGGCAAACACAUCUAUGCGUGUUCAAAGCACUUCGUUGACGGCCGGCCAACACCCGCUCACCCUGAUCCUCUGCCAGCAUUGACAUAUGACCGUAGUAACGUUACACCUGCGAAAUGUCUGCCAAAGCAUCUUUGGCAGACGACGAGUUGACAGCAAGCCAGACAAUGCUGAAAACAUCAGACGUUUCCGUGGAUAUUACAGGAGAGAUGGCAACAGAAUCAUUAAUGGAGGAUACCACUACAGAGGAGAGCACUAUGGUUACUGAAAUGGAGUGCACAGAUGACCAACUCCAGAUAAAAGAAACACAAGAGGAACUGGAAAGACAAUGAUUUGCUAAGGGACAAAAUACAAACUCAUCAGGCUCGUUACCCACUAACACCAGAGACUAUAAAUAACAGCAGUGUCCCUAACUACUUCAAAUACUGCACUGGGUUCACUUACGAUGAAUUUAAUAAUCUGUGCAGAUUUUUCAGACUACCAGAUAAUGAAACAGUCCCGCUAAAACACAUCCUCUUGAAAUAUGAUCAAUUGAACAGGCACAUCCACCAUAUGCCUUUACGUCAACAAUUUCUACUUGUACUUAUGAAACUAAGACAAAACUUCAACCUGAAGAGCUAGCUUUCAAAUUUCAAAUUGAUGUGCAAAGUGUUAAUACUUUAUUCGGUUAUUGGAUUGACUUCAUGUAUGGCAUGCUAGGUAAUCUGUCUGUUUGGCCACACAGGGACAUCAUCACAGAAAACAUGCCUGCAGAGUUUCCAACAACUUUUGCAAUUCUUGAUUGCACAGAGAUAAAGCUAGAGAAACCCAGCUCACUGUUAGACUUAUUCUAACUACAAGUCUACUAACACACUUAAGUCUUUAAUAGCCUGUGAUCCUCGUGGCUCCAUUAUGUUUGCAUCUACACUUUACACAGGAUCAAUUUCUGACCAGGAGCUAUUUAGACAGUGCAAAAUCAAAGAUUUACUGAAAGGUCUGCUUCAGUGUGGCUAUCUUAAGAGAGAUGAUGGGCUCAUGGUGGAUAAGGGAUUUCUCAUUGAGAAAGAUGUGAAGGAGCUUGGCCUUAAACUAAACAUUCCUCCGUUUACAAAGUCAAAUCUUCAAAUGCUAGUCCCAGAUGUUCAGAUAACAAAAAAAAAUUGCCGAACACAGAGAGCAUGUAGAAAGAGCAAUAGCCAAAGUCAGAAAAUUUAAGAUAGUAUCUGGUAGGAUCCCUAAUUCCACGUUAGGAAAUAUAAAUCAGAUAUGGUUUCUGGUGUGUAUGUUGUCUCAUUUCCAGCGACACAUCAUUCCAAAUUAAGGGACAGCAACGUGCUCCAGUUAAUUUGUGGCCAUGUUUUCUCUCUCCCUGUCACACAAGUUAUUAUAAUGAAUUUGCAUUUUGUAUCCAAUUUGUAACCUUUCAAUUGUUAUAUUGUGAAUGUUUUAUUUUGUAAUAAACUGUGGCUGGCAGCAAAUUAUAAUAAAUAAAUCUUAAUCUGUA